Molecule: ribosomal RNA, 502 nt
Filed under: uncultured bacterium
Lineage: Bacteria
Description: partial 16S ribosomal RNA
Rfam family: Bacterial small subunit ribosomal RNA
Source: RNAcentral
AUUGAACGCUGGCGGCAGGCUUAACACAUGCAAGUCGAGCGGGGUGAUGGUGCUUGCACUAUCACUUAGCGGCGGACGGGUGAGUAAUGCUUAGGAAUCUGCCUAUUAGUGGGGGACAACAUCUCGAAAGGGAUGCUAAUACCGCAUACGUCCUACGGGAGAAAGCAGGGGAUCACUUGUGACCUUGCGCUAAUAGAUGAGCCUAAGUCGGAUUAGCUAGUUGGUGGGGUAAAGGCCUACCAAGGCGACGAUCUGUAGCGGGUCUGAGAGGAUGAUCCGCCACACUGGGACUGAGACACGGCCCAGACUCCUACGGGAGGCAGCAGUGGGGAAUAUUGGACAAUGGGGGGAACCUGAUCCAGCCAUGCCGCGUGUGUGAAGAAGGCCUUAUGGUUGUAAAGCACUUUAAGCGAGGAGGAGGCUCUUUUGGUUAAUACCCAAGAUAAGUGGACGUUACUCGCAGAAUAAGCACCGGCUAACUCUGUGCCAGCCGCCGCGGUAA